CCAGUCGGCCGGGCAGCCGCGCUCUACCAGUGCCGAAAGGCGGUAGGGUGAGGAAAGUCCGGGCUCCACGGAAACACGGUGCCGGAUAACGUCCGGCGAGGGUGACCUUAGGGAUAGUGCCACAGAAAGCAAACCGCCCCGCCUGCUUUUCCGUCCGCAUGAGGACGCAAAAGUCGGCGGGGUAAGGGUGAAAGGGUGGGGUAAGAGCCCACCGCGUCGCUGGUAACAGGGACGGCACGGUAAACCCCACCGGGAGCAAGACCGAAUAGGGAUGACGCGGGUGCUGCGCAAGCGGUGCCACAGCCUGUUUCCGGGCCAGUCAUCCGGGUGGGUUGCGUGAGGCAGCGUGCAAACGCUGUCCCAGAUGAAUGGCUGCCACGUUCCGGGCGACCGGAGCCAUACAGAACCCGGCUUACAGGCCGACUGGCACU
Molecule: RNase P RNA, 431 nt
Filed under: Ciceribacter lividus
Lineage: Bacteria; Pseudomonadati; Pseudomonadota; Alphaproteobacteria; Hyphomicrobiales; Rhizobiaceae
Description: Bacterial RNase P class A
Rfam family: Bacterial RNase P class A
About the family: Ribonuclease P (RNase P) is a ubiquitous endoribonuclease, found in archaea, bacteria and eukarya as well as chloroplasts and mitochondria. Its best characterised activity is the generation of mature 5'-ends of tRNAs by cleaving the 5'-leader elements of precursor-tRNAs.
Source: Rfam by way of RNAcentral